RNAcentral lists this ribosomal RNA (564 nucleotides) under Streptomyces kanamyceticus. RNAcentral's name for it is "bacterial SSU rRNA". It matches the Rfam family "Bacterial small subunit ribosomal RNA", at positions 93 to 671 of the family's 1533-position model. The record is from RNAcentral. Lineage: Bacteria; Bacillati; Actinomycetota; Actinomycetes; Kitasatosporales; Streptomycetaceae.
UAGUGGCGAACGGGUGAGUAACACGUGGGCAAUCUGCCCUUCACUCUGGGACAAGCCCUGGAAACGGGGUCUAAUACCGGAUAACACCUUCUCUCGCAUGGGAGAGGGUUGAAAGCUCCGGCGGUGAAGGAUGAGCCCGCGGCCUAUCAGCUUGUUGGUGAGGUAGAAGCUCACCAAGGCGACGACGGGUAGCCGGCCUGAGAGGGCGACCGGCCACACUGGGACUGAGACACGGCCCAGACUCCUACGGGAGGCAGCAGUGGGGAAUAUUGCACAAUGGGCGAAAGCCUGAUGCAGCGACGCCGCGUGAGGGAUGACGGCCUUCGGGUUGUAAACCUCUUUCAGCAGGGAAGAAGCGAAAGUGACGGUACCUGCAGAAGAAGCGCCGGCUAACUACGUGCCAGCAGCCGCGGUAAUACGUAGGGCGCAAGCGUUGUCCGGAAUUAUUGGGCGUAAAGAGCUCGUAGGCGGCUUGUCACGUCGGUUGUGAAAGCCCGGGGCUUAACCCCGGGUCUGCAGUCGAUACGGGCAGGCUAGAGUGUGGUAGGGGAGAUCGGAAUUCCU